This is a regulatory RNA element of Desulfuribacillus alkaliarsenatis, 103 nucleotides long. The record is from Rfam. NCBI's taxonomy places the organism in Bacteria, Bacillati, Bacillota, Desulfuribacillia, Desulfuribacillales, Desulfuribacillaceae.
GGCAUGCUUCAACCGCACGUACAAGGUUUUAAACUAUAAGUAUACAGCUUAAUUAUAAGCUAUAUAGCCUUAUAGACCUUCGACGGCGAGUCUAAGUCUAAUA